UCCUGUGUUUCCGGUCACCUACAACAUGAAAAUUGUUGGCACCACCAGCCAUCGUUGUCUUCUUCUCAACGUCAUCUUCCUCGUCACUCAGUGUUGUCGGGGAUGCUAAAUCACCACCGCCAUCAUAUGAAGAUUCAAAGUCCAAGCCCUACUUUACCAUCGAAAAAAUCAUCGUUGCAUUCUUCUCGUGUCGCCUCUUCCUGUGUUUCUUCCUUACGCAUCCCUCUCUCUCUCUCUUCCUCUUAGUGUUUGUGAAGCCAUCUGAUUUGUUGGAUCAAAUUGGGAUCCGAUUUGAUGUUUCAUAUUCCUGAUUUGCUGCUUAUAGGGCUAUGAUUUGUUGGGUUUCUUAUCGUAUUUUCUGAAUGGCAGUCUCUCUCCUUUUUCUCAUUGAAUCAAAUUGCAGCGCAGGUAAGGGUUGGCGAACCAAAAGAUGGAUUUAGGGGCAUUCAAAAAUCUGCAACAGAAGCUUUUCCAAUAGGGAAGAAAUAUUGCCUAAUUCGAGAGAGUUGCUUCUAUGUAUCAACAACGUGAAAACAAAACCUUAAAGAGAGUUUCCUAAUUCGAUUACCCUCGGAAAACAUCACCCUAAACAGGACCCAAAAAUUUCAUUGUUGAAAUCCAGACAUUUUUUUAUGAUGGCGCAGUUUAUGAUGGAGUUACAUGGCUUAAAAAUCGUUGAUGGUGAAUACCCACCAAUGAUACAUGUUAUGGAUGCAAUAACAAUCUGCUCAUCGUUGUUCAAGAUGGAAUUCCAUGAAGAAAUCGUUGAUGGUCAAGUCAAAUGUUAGAGGUGGAUAUGGGUGAAGAAAAUGGAGGUUGAUGAUGAUGGUUGGUUAAGAUGACAGAGAUGCUGGUGUUUGGUGUUCAACGCUUCAAGGUGGGUGUGAUGUUGGGUGUUAUGUUAUCAGAACUCAAACAUUAAGAAAGAAGAAAAAAAACAACUAGAAAAGAGAGUUGGGUGAGGCUAAAUUGUUAUACGGUAUGGUUUGUUAUCUAUAUGGAUUAUAUGACAUGACUAUUAAAAAAUAAAUACAAAUUAACUAUUAACGCCA
Lactuca sativa (garden lettuce) is the source of this 1052-nucleotide long non-coding RNA. RefSeq lists it as uncharacterized. The record is from RefSeq and is a predicted model, not a curated record. NCBI's taxonomy places the organism in Eukaryota, Viridiplantae, Streptophyta, Magnoliopsida, Asterales, Asteraceae.